AAAAAGAUAAGCUAAAUUAAGCUUUUGGGUUCAUACCCCAACGAUAGUAAAAAUACUUCUUUUUA
Molecule: transfer RNA, 65 nt
Filed under: Ashinkailepas seepiophila
Lineage: Eukaryota; Metazoa; Arthropoda; Thecostraca; Neolepadidae
Description: tRNA-Met
Source: RNAcentral